RNAcentral lists this unclassified non-coding RNA (302 nucleotides) under Hevea brasiliensis (rubber tree). Lineage: Eukaryota; Viridiplantae; Streptophyta; Magnoliopsida; Malpighiales; Euphorbiaceae. The record is from RNAcentral.
CUUUUUGGUAUAUUACCCCUCAAAUUUCAGAGCUCAUAUUCCAGUCAGGUUUAACAAGGCUGACCAACUUUAAUGUGGUGUUCUUAUGGGUUUACGGAUUUGGAUUUUUGAGUUGUAUUAUGAAAUUGUUGGAGUUCUGAGUGGUUACAGUUGUGAGACCGUGUUGCACUAGCAUCUUCCAGUUACCAUUAUCUUUCUCCAGCAUGUGAGCUUUCAUUAAGGGUUCGUUCAAGGAAUAAGCAGUAUAAUACCGACUUAGAGUGUAUCAAGAGAAAAGAAGAGAAGAGUCUGGCAGUUUUAAG